This 588-nucleotide ribosomal RNA is filed under the name uncultured Alphaproteobacteria bacterium. RNAcentral's name for it is "partial 16S ribosomal RNA". It matches the Rfam family "Bacterial small subunit ribosomal RNA", at positions 1 to 611 of the family's 1533-position model. The record is from RNAcentral. Lineage: Bacteria; Pseudomonadati; Pseudomonadota; Alphaproteobacteria.
GCUUGCGGCCGCCAUGGCGGCCGCGGGAAUUCGAUUAGAGUUUGAUCAUGGCUCAGGACGAACGCUGGCGGCGCGCCUAACACAUGCAAGUCGAGCGAGAACCAGGACUUCGGUCCUGGGGACAGCGGCAGACGGGUGAGUAACGCGUGGGAACAUACCUCUUGGUUCGGAACAACACAGGGAAACUUGUGCUAAUACCGGAUAAGCCCUUACGGGGAAAGAUUUAUCGCCAAAAGAUCGGCCCGCGUCUGAUUAGCUAGUUGGUGGGGUAAUGGCCCACCAAGGCUACGAUCUGUAGCUGGUCUGAGAGGACGACCAGCCACACUGGGACUGAGACACGGCCCAGACUCCUACGGGAGGCAGCAGUGGGGAAUCUUGCGCAAUGGGCGAAAGCCUGACGCAGCAACGCCGCGUGGGGGACGAAGGCCUUCGGGUUGUAAACCCCUUUCAGCAGGGACGAAAAUGACGGUACCUGCAGAAGAAGCCCCGGCCAACUACGUGCCAGCAGCCGCGGUAAUACGAAUCACUAGUGAAUUCGCGGCCGCCUGCAGGUCGACCAUAUGGGAGAGCUCCCAACGCGUUGGAUGC